This 468-nucleotide ribosomal RNA is filed under the name uncultured bacterium. RNAcentral describes it as "partial 16S ribosomal RNA". It matches the Rfam family "Bacterial small subunit ribosomal RNA", at positions 28 to 507 of the family's 1533-position model. The record is from RNAcentral.
GACGAACGCUGGCGGCGUGCUUAACACAUGCAAGUCGAACGGAAAGGCCCUGCUUUUGUGGGGUGCUCGAGUGGCGAACGGGUGAGUAACACGUGAGUAACCUGCCCUUGACUUUGGGAUAACUUCAGGAAACUGGGGCUAAUACCGGAUAGGAGCUCCUGCUGCAUGGUGGGGGUUGGAAAGUUUCGGCGGUUGGGGAUGGACUCGCGGCUUAUCAGCUUGUUGGUGGGGGAGUGGCUUACCAAGGCUUUGACGGGUAGCCGGCCGGAGAGGGUGACCGGCGACAUUGGGACUGCGAUACGGCGCAGACUCCUACGGGAGGCAGCAGUGGGGAAUAUUGCACAAUGGGCGGAAGCCUGAUGCAGCAACGCCGCGUGCGGGAUGACGGCCUUCGGGUUGUAAACCGCUUUCGCCUGUGACGAAGCGUGAGUGACGGUAAUGGGUAAAGAAGCACCGGCUAACUACGUG